This 446-nucleotide ribosomal RNA is filed under the name uncultured Nitrospirota bacterium. Its description in RNAcentral is "uncultured Nitrospirae bacterium partial 16S ribosomal RNA". It matches the Rfam family "Bacterial small subunit ribosomal RNA", at positions 1085 to 1526 of the family's 1533-position model. Lineage: Bacteria; Pseudomonadati; Nitrospirota. The record is from RNAcentral.
UCCGCACGAGCGCAACCCCUGCUCUUUAGUUUGCCAUCAGGUUGGAGGUGGGAAAUCCCCCUUUAAAAGGCCCCGAAAACCGGAAGAAAGGGGGGAAUAACCUUCAAUUCUCCUGGGCCUUUAUACCAGGGGUUCCCCCCUGGUUAAAUGGGCCGGAAAAAAGGGUGGUAAUCCCCCAGGGGGAACUAAACCCCGAAAAAUGCUCUUCGUUUCAGAUUGGAGGUCUGCAACUCGACUCCAUGAAGGUGGAAUCGCUAGUAAUCGCGAAUCAGAAUGUCGCGGUGAAUACGUUCCCGGGCCUUGUACACACCGCCCGUCACACCAUGAAAGUGGGUUGUACCAGAAGCGGCUAGGCUAACCUUCCGGAGGACGCUCACCCCCGCAUGAUUCAUAACUGGGGUGAAGACGUCACAAGGUAGCCGNAGGGGAACCUGCGGCUGGAGCAC